AUGAACGCUGGCGGCGUGCUUAACACAUGCAAGUCGAACGGUGAAGCCAAGCUUGCUUGGUGGAUCAGUGGCGAACGGGUGAGUAACACGUGAGCAACCUGCCCUGGACUCUGGGAUAAGCGCUGGAAACGGUGUCUAAUACUGGAUAUGAGAUGUGAUCGCAUGGUCAUGUUUGGAAAGAUUUUUCGGUCUGGGAUGGGCUCGCGGCCUAUCAGCUUGUUGGUGAGGUAAUGGCUCACCAAGGCGUCGACGGGUAGCCGGCCUGGGAGGGUGACCGGCCACACUGGGACUGAGACACGGCCCAGACUCCUACGGGAGGCAGCAGUGGGGAAUAUUGCACAAUGGGCGGAAGCCUGAUGCAGCAACGCCGCGUGAGGGAUGACGGCCUUCGGGUUGUAAACCUCUUUUAGCAGGGAAGAAGCGAAAGUGACGGUACCUGCAGAAAAAGCGCCGGCUAACUACGU
This 464-nucleotide ribosomal RNA is filed under the name uncultured bacterium. Its description in RNAcentral is "bacterial SSU rRNA". It matches the Rfam family "Bacterial small subunit ribosomal RNA", at positions 29 to 506 of the family's 1533-position model. The record is from RNAcentral.